RNAcentral lists this ribosomal RNA (868 nucleotides) under uncultured bacterium. RNAcentral describes it as "bacterial SSU rRNA". It matches the Rfam family "Bacterial small subunit ribosomal RNA", at positions 28 to 896 of the family's 1533-position model. The record is from RNAcentral.
GAUGAACGCUAGCGGCAGGCUUAACACAUGCAAGUCGAGGGGUAACAGAGGUGCUUGCACUUGCUGACGACCGGCGAACGGGUGCGUAACGCGUAUAGAAUCUACCUCUUACUAAGGGAUAGCCCAGAGAAAUUUGGAUUAAUAUCUUAUAGUAUGUUGACUUGGCAUCAAGAUAACAUUAGAGGUUACGGUGAGAGAUGACUAUGCGUCCUAUUAGCUAGAUGGUGUGGUAACGGCACACCAUGGCAACGAUAGGUAGGGGCCCUGAGAGGGGGAUCCCCCACACUGGUACUGAGACACGGACCAGACUCCUACGGGAGGCAGCAGUGAGGAAUAUUGGACAAUGGAGGCAACUCUGAUCCAGCCAUGCCGCGUGCAGGAGGACUGCCCUAUGGGUUGUAAACUGCUUUUAUACAGGAAGAAACACCUCUACGUGUAGAGGCUUGACGGUACUGUAAGAAUAAGGAUCGGCUAACUCCGUGCCAGCAGCCGCGGUAAUACGGAGGAUCCAAGCGUUAUCCGGAAUCAUUGGGUUUAAAGGGUCCGUAGGUGGAUAAUUAAGUCAGAGGUGAAAUCCUGCAGCUUAACUGUAGAAUUGCCUUUGAUACUGGUUAUCUUGAGUUGUUAUGAAGUAGUUAGAAUAUGUAGUGUAGCGGUGAAAUGCAUAGAUAUUACAUAGAAUACCAAUUGCGAAGGCAGAUUACUAAUAAUAUACUGACACUGAUGGACGAAAGCGUGGGGAGCGAACAGGAUUAGAUACCCUGGUAGUCCACGCCGUAAACGAUGGUCACUAGCUGUUCGAAUUUCGGUUUGAGUGGCUAAGCGGAAGUGAUAAGUGACCCACCUGGGGAGUACGUUCGCAAGAAUG